Long non-coding RNA from Vitis riparia (riverbank grape), 1634 nucleotides. RefSeq lists it as uncharacterized. Lineage: Eukaryota; Viridiplantae; Streptophyta; Magnoliopsida; Vitales; Vitaceae. The record is from RefSeq and is a predicted model, not a curated record. The transcript is spliced from 5 exons.
GAUGUAUCUUCUCGUUAAGAUCGGCAAAAAAAGCUCUCCAGCACCCUCAAUCAUCUAUCUCUUCCUCUUCUCACAUCUCUCUCGUUUCUCUCCGUCAACAAAACAGACCCAUCUGCAUUCACACUUGUUCUCCACAAAGGACCAUGCUCCUGCCUCAUAACCUUCAUUCUGCAUUCCCAUUAAGGACUCUAGAGAAUUGGUGGUUCUCUUGUGACUGAAAAACAGGUCUAGCAUUUACAUAAUUUGGGAUCACUUGGAGACAAAACUGAAAUGGUUCAUUGUGUUCAAAACCCCUUUAAGGGCUGUAUCUUUUCAACCUCAUGGAUCCAGCACUCUGCCUUUUGGAAUGAAUGCUAGAGAAGAUGCAGAUGUACUUCUUCCAGAGCAUAUCUCACAUUGAGCUCAUAUAGAGAUUACACGCUUUAUAUAGAAUGGAAAACAGGCAAAAUAUGAGUGCUAGCCGAGGAAAAGAUAGUGUUUCUAUGAAGUCUGUUGAUCAAAGAGAACGCAUGAUGACCCGUCGCUUAAAAAAUCGGGAACGACAACGUAGAUACAGGGCUAGGAAGCGUCUUCAAGCAGAUAUGGAAAGAGGCUCCAUCUUGAACCAAGCAUCUCCAGUGCCAGUAGAAUUGCAGUUAAAUGAGGUUUGUUGCACCACUCGGGUCUAUUGUAAACGAAAUUGGAAGAAAGAUGCCAGGGUCCGUGCUUCUCAGGAGCAACUCAAAUCUGCUGAACCUGUCACCCCCACUGUGCCCUUGGUUAAUGAAAGUGAAGCACCCAGUUUACUCCCUGAAAUGAAGGCAAAACAACUGCUAGAAAAUGAAAUGCAGUCUGAAAAUUCUCGUAGCUUGGACAGUCGUGAAGCAAAUGGAACUGUGCAUCGGCGAAGAGAUUGGAAAGCAGAUGCAAGAAAUAAGAAGAACUAGAAUGGCAGUUUCAUGGUUCCUUUUGUGGAGUAGGAUGAACAUUUUACAGAUACCAAAUUUAGUGGCUGAUGAAACAUGAAGUGUUGGAAUGUGAAUAUCUUCAAAGAAGUUGUAAUGGCUAAAGGACUCAUAAUUGUGUGAUGGGGGGCUUCAAAUAAUAUAUCCAUCAGUUGACAAUUUGGUUAUCUGUCAUACUAAAAGACGAUGCAGAACAGCCCUGGAGAAACCUGCUUUAAGUUGGAAAAUCCCGGGUGAGUAGGAUAUGUCAUUGGUAUAGAACUAUUACAGAUGAGAAUGCUAGGGUGAUUAAAUUUUAACCCCUGUAUGUGAGAAGCAACAUACAUUUGCUGUGCGGCUUAUGUCAGGCAGCACAUGUUUGUUUCUGAAUUCUGAAUUCUGAAUAUAACAUCUGAAUUUUCUAUUGGCAAGUCCAUUUAGAUAAUUACAAGACUAUGUUAUUCAUAAAACUCUUUGAUUGGUUUUGCUUCCAUUACAAGAUCAUGGAGUUAUGUAAUUAAAGUAUUUUCUGGCCGCCGUUCAGAGUUAGAAAGGUCAAUCUUAUUUUUAAAUGAUUGAUGUAAGGUAAUCCGAAAAUGAAUGAUGUUAUUAUUGUUCGGAAUAACUUGGAUGCCUAUGAUGGAUGAUGAGAAGAACUCUCUAGUUGGCAUGGAAAGUUUAUCAGGCGGAAUAGAAAAUUACAUUAGAGAA